AACCAGUUUGGGUUUAUGACUGCAAG
This 26-nucleotide non-coding RNA is filed under the name Cricetulus griseus (Chinese hamster). The record is from RNAcentral. Lineage: Eukaryota; Metazoa; Chordata; Mammalia; Rodentia; Cricetidae.